GAACAAGGAGGUUCGUCUAUGGCC
This 24-nucleotide non-coding RNA is filed under the name Arabidopsis thaliana (thale cress). Lineage: Eukaryota; Viridiplantae; Streptophyta; Magnoliopsida; Brassicales; Brassicaceae. The record is from RNAcentral.